This 432-nucleotide ribosomal RNA is filed under the name uncultured bacterium. Its description in RNAcentral is "partial 16S ribosomal RNA". It matches the Rfam family "Bacterial small subunit ribosomal RNA", at positions 28 to 506 of the family's 1533-position model. The record is from RNAcentral.
GACGAACGCUGGCGGCAUGCCUAACACAUGCAAGUCGAACGAGACCUUCGGGUCUAGUGGCGCACGGGUGCGUAACGCGUGGGAACCUGCCCUUAGGUUCGGAAUAACUCCCCGAAAGGGGUGCUAAUACCGGAUAAUGUCUUCGGACCAAAGAUUUAUCGCCUUUGGAUGGGCCCGCGUUGGAUUAGCUUGUUGGUAGGGUAAAAGCCUACCAAGGCGACGAUCCAUAGCUGGUAUGAGAGGAUGAUCAGCAACACUGGGACUGAUACACGGCCCAGACUCCUACGGGAGGGAGCAGGGGUGAAUAUUGGACACUGGGCGAAAGCCUGAUCCAGCAAUGCCGCGUGAGUGAUGAAGGCCUUAGGGUUGUAAAGCUCUUUUACCCGGGAUGAUAUUGACAGUACCGGGAGAAUAAGCUCCGGCUAACUCCGG